RNAcentral lists this ribosomal RNA (318 nucleotides) under Triticum aestivum (bread wheat). RNAcentral's name for it is "partial small subunit ribosomal RNA". The record is from RNAcentral. Lineage: Eukaryota; Viridiplantae; Streptophyta; Magnoliopsida; Poales; Poaceae.
AUGGACAUAGGCAAGUUGCAGCUUUUACACACACUGGAUAUAAUAGACACUAGUAUAAAAGAAUUACCUUCAAGUGUUGUACAGCUCAGAAAUUUGAUAUGCCUAUGUGUCAAUUCUAGGGUGAGGCUGCCAAAAGGAAUGGGGAGCUUGAUGUCCCUUGAAGUGCUGGAACAAGUAGGCUUAUCCUUGUCUCCUCACUUUAUGAAAGACCUGGGCCAUCUGACAGAGGUUAGGACGCUCAGUGUUGACUGUCGUAACAUGGACGAGGAUCUGAUUGAUAUAUUAAUCAAGUCUCUAGGCAACCUGCAGAAAUUUUAA